RNAcentral lists this ribosomal RNA (470 nucleotides) under uncultured bacterium. RNAcentral describes it as "bacterial SSU rRNA". It matches the Rfam family "Bacterial small subunit ribosomal RNA", at positions 38 to 523 of the family's 1533-position model. The record is from RNAcentral.
GGCGGCGUGCUUAAACAUGCAAGUCGAGCGAUGAAGCUUCCUUCGGGAAGUGGAUUAGCGGCGGACGGGUGAGUAACGCGUGCGUAACCUGCCUCAAAGAGGGGGAUAGCCUUCCGAAAGGAAGAUUAAUACCGCAUAAUAUACAGAAAUCACAUGUUUUCUGUAUCAAAGGAGCAAUCCGCUUUGAGAUGGACUCGCGGCGCAUUAGCUAGUUGGUAGGGUAACGGCCUACCAAGGCGACGAUGCGUAGCCGACCUGAGAGGGUGAUCGGCCACAUUGGGACUGAGACACGGCCCAGACUCCUACGGGAGGCAGCAGUGGGGAAUAUUGCGCAAUGGGCGAAAGCCUGACGCAGCAACGCCGCGUGGGUGAUGACGGUCUUCGGAUUGUAAAACCCUGUCUUCAGGGACGAUAAUGACGGUACCUGAGGAGGAAGCCACGGCUAACUACGUUGCCAGCAGCCGCGGUAA